RNAcentral lists this ribosomal RNA (539 nucleotides) under Salmonella enterica. Its description in RNAcentral is "partial 23S ribosomal RNA". It matches the Rfam family "Bacterial large subunit ribosomal RNA", at positions 711 to 1248 of the family's 2925-position model. The record is from RNAcentral. Lineage: Bacteria; Pseudomonadati; Pseudomonadota; Gammaproteobacteria; Enterobacterales; Enterobacteriaceae. RNAcentral also lists the same sequence under 5 other names.
AGACCCGAAACCCGGUGAUCUAGCCAUGGGCAGGUUGAAGGUUGGGUAACACUAACUGGAGGACCGAACCGACUAAUGUUGAAAAAUUAGCGGAUGACCUGUGGCUGGGGGUGAAAGGCCAAUCAAACCGGGAGAUAGCUGGUUCUCCCCGAAAGCUAUUUAGGUAGCGCCUCGUGAAUUCAUCUCCGGGGGUAGAGCACUGUUUCGGCUAGGGGGCCAUCCCGGCUUACCAACCCGAUGCAAACUGCGAAUACCGGAGAAUGUUAUCACGGGAGACACACGGCGGGUGCUAACGUCCGUCGUGAAGAGGGAAACAACCCAGACCGCCAGCUAAGGUCCCAAAGUCAUGGUUAAGUGGGAAACGAUGUGGGAAGGCCCAGACAGCCAGGAUGUUGGCUUAGAAGCAGCCAUCAUUUAAAGAAAGCGUAAUAGCUCACUGGUCGAGUCGGCCUGCGCGGAAGAUGUAACGGGGCUAAACCAUGCACCGAAGCUGCGGCAGCGACACUGUGUGUUGUUGGGUAGGGGAGCGUUCUGUAAGC